This 707-nucleotide ribosomal RNA is filed under the name uncultured Lactobacillus sp. RNAcentral's name for it is "bacterial SSU rRNA". It matches the Rfam family "Bacterial small subunit ribosomal RNA", at positions 8 to 683 of the family's 1533-position model. Lineage: Bacteria; Bacillati; Bacillota; Bacilli; Lactobacillales; Lactobacillaceae. The record is from RNAcentral.
AGAGUUUGAUUAUGGCUCAGGACGAACGCUGGCGGCGUGCCUAAUACAUGCAAGUCGAACGAAGCUUUCUUUCACCGAAUGCUUGCGUUCACCGAAAGAAGCUUAGUGGCGAACGGGUGAGUAACACGUAGGCAACCUGCCCAAAAGAGGGGGAUAACACUUGGAAACAGGUGCUAAUACCGCAUAACCAUGAACACUGCAUGAUGUUCAUGUAAAAGACGGCUUUUGCUGUCGCUUUUGGAUGGGCCUGCGGCGUAUUAACUUGUUGGUGGGGUAACGGCCUACCAAGGUGAUGAUACGUAGCCGAACUGAGAGGUUGAUCGGCCACAUUGGGACUGAGACACGGCCCAAACUCCUACGGGGGGCAGCAGUAGGGAAUCUUCCACAAUGGACGAAAGUCUGAUGGAGCAACGCCGCGUGAAUGAAGAAGGCCUUCGGGUCGUAAAAUUCUGUUGUCAGAGAAGAACGUGCGUGAGAGUAACUGUUCACGUAUUGACGGUAUCUGACCAGAAAGCCACGGCUAACUACGUGCCAGCAGCCGCGGUAAUACGUAGGUGGCGAGCGUUGUCCGGAUUUAUUGGGCGUAAAGGGAACGCAGGCGGUCUUUUAAGUCUGAUGUGAAAGCCUUCGGCUUAACCGAAGUAGUGCAUUGGAAACUGGAAGACUUGAGUGCAGAAGAGGAGAGUGGAACUCCAUGUGUAGCGGUG